UACGUAGGGGGCAAGCGUUGUCCGGAUUUAUUGGGCGUAAAGGGCGCGUAGGCGGCCCGCUAAGUCGAACGUGAAAUCCCCGAGCUCAACUCGGGAACUGCGUCCGAUACUGGUGGGCUUGAAUCCGGGAGAGGGAUGCGGAAUUCCAGGUGUAGCGGUGAAAUGCGUAGAUAUCUGGAGGAAUACCGGUGGCGAAGGCGGCAUCCUGGACCGAGAUUGACACUGAUGAGCGAAAGCCAGGGGAGCAAACGGG
This 253-nucleotide ribosomal RNA is filed under the name uncultured bacterium. RNAcentral describes it as "partial 16S ribosomal RNA". It matches the Rfam family "Bacterial small subunit ribosomal RNA", at positions 524 to 776 of the family's 1533-position model. The record is from RNAcentral.